GACAUUCGACACCCUUAGUCGAGAAUGUUCUUCCCACAAUUCCAGGAUCUUCUGACUAAUCUCUGCCGAACCUCCCUUUCCACCUUGAAGGGUCCCAUUCCUACUCGAAGGGUAUUUUGGUCUUCUUGCAGAUUUCUCGUCAACCGCUCUGAUACCAAUUGUUGGGAUUGUGAAAUCUCAUGUCCAACUCUAUAUUAUCCGAUUAGUACGAUAUUGUCCACUUUGGGCCUAAUUAGCAAGCCCGCAUGGUUUUA
Molecule: long non-coding RNA, 254 nt
Filed under: Brassica rapa (field mustard)
Lineage: Eukaryota; Viridiplantae; Streptophyta; Magnoliopsida; Brassicales; Brassicaceae
Description: long non-coding RNA (BRAP_LNC003829)
Source: RNAcentral